CAACCCUCAAGCCCCCGGGUUUGGUGUUGGGGAUCGGCUCUGCCCUUCUGGGCGGUGCCGCCCCCGAAAUACAUUGGCGGUCUCGCUGCAGCCUCCAUUGCGUAGUAGCUAACACCUCGCAACUGGAACGCGGCGCGGCCAUGCCGUAAAACCCCAACUUCUGAA
Molecule: unclassified non-coding RNA, 165 nt
Filed under: Fusarium lateritium
Lineage: Eukaryota; Fungi; Ascomycota; Sordariomycetes; Hypocreales; Nectriaceae
Also listed under: 4 other names
Description: partial internal transcribed spacer 2
Source: RNAcentral